RNAcentral lists this transfer RNA (65 nucleotides) under Camelus ferus (Wild Bactrian camel). It matches the Rfam family "tRNA". Rfam says of the family: Transfer RNA (tRNA) molecules are approximately 80 nucleotides in length. Their secondary structure includes four short double-helical elements and three loops (D, anti-codon, and T loops). The record is from Rfam by way of RNAcentral. Lineage: Eukaryota; Metazoa; Chordata; Mammalia; Artiodactyla; Camelidae.
GGCAUAACUCAGUGGUAGAGUGUGUGCUUAGCAUGCACAAGGUCCUGGGUUCAAUCCCCAGUACC